Molecule: small RNA, 28 nt
Filed under: Bombyx mori (domestic silkworm)
Lineage: Eukaryota; Metazoa; Arthropoda; Insecta; Lepidoptera; Bombycidae
Description: ovarian small RNA-30099
Source: RNAcentral
UCUUAUCAACACCUAUAUGGCUAUGUUC